UGCCCAGAUGAUGGGGACUAUUGCUAAUGC
RNAcentral lists this non-coding RNA (30 nucleotides) under Mus musculus (house mouse). Lineage: Eukaryota; Metazoa; Chordata; Mammalia; Rodentia; Muridae. The record is from RNAcentral.